UACGGAGGGUGCAAGCGUUAAACGGAAUUACUGGGCGUAAAGCGCCCGCAGGCGGUCUGUCAAGUCGGAUGUGCAAUCCCCGGGCUCAACUUGGGAACUGCAUCCGAACCUGGCAGGCUAGAGUCAUGUAGAGGGGGGUAGAAUUCCAGGUGUAGCGGUGAAAUGCGUAGAGAUCUGGAGGAAUACCGGUGGCGAAGGCGGCCCCCUGGACAAAGACUGGCGGUCAGGUGCGAAAGCGUGGGGAGCAAACAGG
This 253-nucleotide unclassified non-coding RNA is filed under the name uncultured Enterobacteriaceae bacterium. RNAcentral's name for it is "contains 16S-23S intergenic spacer region". It matches the Rfam family "Bacterial small subunit ribosomal RNA", at positions 524 to 776 of the family's 1533-position model. The record is from RNAcentral. Lineage: Bacteria; Pseudomonadati; Pseudomonadota; Gammaproteobacteria; Enterobacterales; Enterobacteriaceae.